GAUGAACGCUAGCGACAGGCUUAACACAUGCAAGUCGAGGGGCAACGGGACGUAGCAAUACGUUGCCGGCGACCGGCGGAUGGGUGAGUAACGCGUAUGCAACCUACCCACGACAGGGGGAUAGCCCGUUGAAAGACGGAUUAAUACCCCAUAAAACAGGGGUUCCGCAUGGGACUAUUUGUUAAAGGGUUCUCCGCGAGGGGGACAUCGGUUGUGGAUGGGCAUGCGUUCCAUUAGGCAGUUGGUGAGGUAACGGCUCACCAAACCGACGAUGGAUAGGGGAACCGAGAGGUUGGUCCCCCACACUGGUACUGAGAUACGGACCAGACUCCUACGGGAGGCAGCAGUGAGGAAUUUUGGUCAAUGGACGGAAGUCUGAACCAGCCAAGUCGCGUGAAGGAAGGCGGCCCUAAGGGUUGUAAACUUCUUUUGUAAGGGAAUAAAGUGCGUUACGUGUAGUGCAUUGCAAGUACCUUACGAAUAAGGAUCGGCUAACUCC
Molecule: ribosomal RNA, 499 nt
Filed under: uncultured Bacteroidota bacterium
Lineage: Bacteria; Pseudomonadati; Bacteroidota
Description: bacterial SSU rRNA
Rfam family: Bacterial small subunit ribosomal RNA
Source: RNAcentral